GUGCCAGCAGCCGCGGUAAUACCGGCAGCCCAAGUGAUGGCCGAUCUUAUUGGGCCUAAAGCGUCCGUAGCUGGCUGAACAAGUCCGUUGGGAAAUCUGCUCGCUCAACGAGCAGGCGUCCAGCGGUAACUGUUCGGCUUGGGACCGGAAGACCUGAGGGGUACGUCCGGGGUAGGAGUGAAAUCCUGUAAUCCUGGACGGACCACCGGUGGCGAAAGCGCCUCAGGAAGACGGAUCCGACAGUGAGGGACGAAAGCUAGGGUCUCGAACCGGAUUAGAUACCCCCGUAGUCC
RNAcentral lists this ribosomal RNA (293 nucleotides) under uncultured prokaryote. RNAcentral's name for it is "partial 16S ribosomal RNA". It matches the Rfam family "Archaeal small subunit ribosomal RNA", at positions 455 to 747 of the family's 1478-position model. The record is from RNAcentral.